Molecule: long non-coding RNA, 726 nt
Filed under: Prunus persica (peach)
Lineage: Eukaryota; Viridiplantae; Streptophyta; Magnoliopsida; Rosales; Rosaceae
Description: long non-coding RNA (PPER_LNC000100)
Source: RNAcentral
AAUUUCAUGCAAAUAACUAGUAAUUAUAAUGGAGUCACACUAGAAGCUGCUGCAAAAUGAGUUGGUGUCCAGAACUCUUAUUUCUAGCAAGCAACUGGCUCUCUCUCAUUUAUUCUAACUCACUAGUUGAGAUGGACAGGUGGAGUUCAGGGCUUCUGGGGUGGAUUGUAGUAUGGGGGAGGCUUCUUCUUAUAUGGAGUUGGAGGAGGAGGAGGUUUCUUCCCUUCUGGCUUUUGUGGGGGUAGAGGAGCCUUGAUUGGAGGAGGGUGUUUAGGGUAACUAGGUGUGAUUGGUUUCACAACAGGAGGUAGAGUUGGUGUCUUAGGAUAAGGUGGUGGAAGUGGCUUGGUCACCGGCGUAGGUGGCGGUGAAUGUACAAUAGGAGGCUGAGUGCUUGGUGGUUUGCCAUAAGGUGAGGAUGGUGGUGGCCUCACCACUCUAGGAGGCAGAGUUGGUGGUUUGGGUUUGGGCACUAUUGGUGGUGAUGGCUUGUUAUAAACUGGGGGUGAUGGCUUCUUGAUGGGAGCUGGGGGCUUGUAAAUAGGAGAAGGAGUUGGUGGUUUGGGUUUGGGCACUAUUGGUGGUGAUGGCUUCUUGAUGGGAGCUGGGGGCUUGUAAAUAGGAGAAGGAGUGGGUGGCUUGGGUUUUUCAUUGUACUCAGCUAGAGAUGAAGUGAUGAGAACCACCAGGCCAAACAAUAGCACAAGCAACUUUGAGUAACUCAUG